UUCGCGGCUUCCUGUACAUCUGCCCUUGUGGUUGGGGUCACUCCUCGCGGGCACUGGUUUUUGUCUGCAUCUGGACAACUGGGUG
Molecule: unclassified non-coding RNA, 85 nt
Organism: Colobus angolensis palliatus
Lineage: Eukaryota; Metazoa; Chordata; Mammalia; Primates; Cercopithecidae
Source: Ensembl